GAUGAACGCUGGCGGCGUGCCUAAUACAUGCAAGUCGAGCGAACAGACGAGGAGCUUGCUCCUCUGACGUUAGCGGCGGACGGGUGAGUCACACGUGGAUAACCUCCCUAUAAGACUGGGAUAACUUCGGGAAACCGGAGCUAAUACCGGAUAAUAUAUUGAACCGCAUGGUUCAUUAGUGAAAGACGGUUUUGCUGUCUCUUAUAGAUAGAUCCGCGCCGCAUUGGCUAGUUGGUAAGGUAACGGCUUACCAAGGCAACGAGGCGUAGACGACGUGAGAGGGUGAUCGGCCACACUGGAACUUAGACACGGUCCAUGCUCCUGCGGGAGGCAGCAGUAGGGAACCGUACGCAAUGGGCGAAAACCUUACGGAACAACGCCGCGCGAGUGACGGAGGUCUUGCGAUCGUAAAACCCUGUUAUUAGGGAAGAACAAAUGUGUACGUAACUAUGCACGUCUUGACGGUACCUAAUCAGAAAGCCACGGCUAACUACGUG
Molecule: ribosomal RNA, 497 nt
Filed under: uncultured bacterium
Lineage: Bacteria
Description: partial 16S ribosomal RNA
Rfam family: Bacterial small subunit ribosomal RNA
Source: RNAcentral